UGUCGGUGAACGAGCAGUACAUCCGGAGACUGGCAGCAGAAGCCACAGAAUGGCAGCGAUCCGGAGCCCCUCCACCUUCCGGGUCUGCAGUCAGUACUGCUCCCCAGCCUAAGCCAGCUGACAAAAUGUCAAAGAAUAAGAAGAAGAAAUUGAAGAAGAAGCAGAAGCGCCAGGCAGAAUUACUAGAGAAGCGAAUGCAGGAAAU
This is a long non-coding RNA of Octodon degus (degu), 205 nucleotides long. RefSeq lists it as uncharacterized. The transcript has 3 exons. The record is from RefSeq and is a predicted model, not a curated record. Lineage: Eukaryota; Metazoa; Chordata; Mammalia; Rodentia; Octodontidae.